This is a long non-coding RNA of Mus caroli (Ryukyu mouse), 3739 nucleotides long. RefSeq lists it as uncharacterized. Lineage: Eukaryota; Metazoa; Chordata; Mammalia; Rodentia; Muridae. The record is from RefSeq and is a predicted model, not a curated record.
UCUGACUGAAGGUCUAGGGUAGUGCUGACGCUGCUGAGUUCGCAGGGCGCUCCUGGCUGGUAGCUCCCAGGGGCCAAGUGAGGCUUUCCUCAGAGCCCUAGGAUGGGAGGUGGAGGCCAGGUUCUUCAGAAAGAAGGCUCAGGUUAGCUCUUGAGGAAGAGUGAGGAGCAUCGGGACAAAACGGCCAUCCUCCAGACCCAGACGCUGGAUAUGGAGACACCUCGGCCAAUCACUCUAUUGGAAAACCAAAUAGAACAAACCUGUUUGGGAUGAAGAUUGAUAACCAAUUUGGAAUGAUGUGUGUUGAAACGAAUGGAUUUUGGUUUUGAGGCAUUAGCAGGACAUUUGAGUAGAAGAGCUGAUAGGAGAUUUGUUUUCGCAACUGGGUUUACUCUGUAACCCAGGUUGGCCUGGAGCUUAGUUUUCUUGGCUUCUCAGAGCAGAAUUCCCGCCUUGUGCCGCUACACCUGGCUGAAGUUUGGGGACAUGGACUGUGAAUGUAGAAUGUAAGGUGUAGUCUGCAGCUCAGGAGAGUUAGCUAAGUGACAGCUGUCUAUAGUCAUGUUAGAGGCUCAGUGUUUAAUCCCUAGCAGAAGAAAAAUUGAAGUAAAGCAAUGUAAAUGCAUCGUCUUGACUAAAAACUCCAUAGGGAUUGAGUGACAAGGAUUCACUAUGUAUCCUGAAACUUGCAGUCCCCUUGGCUCUGCUUCCUGAGUGCUGGAAUGACAGGAGUGUGCUGUGUGCCUUCACAUCUGACUUAAAGCCCACUGAGAGCAAGUGAAAUGAGGGCUUUUAAGGUUUGCCUCAGUCUUGGUUAUCAGAUGAACUGUCAGGGUGGGUGUCACAGUGCUCAUGUUUAACAGUGGCCAGAGCAUUUGUGAGUAGUGAUCCUGACAAUUUGAAUAUGCCAAAGAGAAGUCAUGCAGUACUUCCUUGAACUGACGCUGUAAGGAGAGGAAAAAAUGCCGAAUGCUAAAGUAACUAAGAUCUACACAUUCUUAUCAGAAAUUUUAAAGAAAACUAGUCAUGGUGGCUCAUGCAACAUCACAGUGCUUGGCAAGUGGAGGCAGGAGCACCGAGAGUUCAAGGCCACCCUUCCUUAUAUAGCAAGUUCCAGUCUAGGUUGGAAAACAACAAAUUGUGAAGAAGGAAAUGGAUCUGUGCUAGUUUUGCUGUCACCUUGAACUACACAUCGGUUGCCACAGUUCCUGACAAAUGCUUAGUCAUUCACCUCAUUUGAUCUCUUCACAUUGACCUUGUGUCACCUCAUGUCACCAGAAAGCUGAGUACAAUACGGAGCUUGGAUGGUCCUUGGAUAGGCACUGCUCUCUAUUCCACAAUGAAAGCUUGGGAAUACUGGUUCUACUGUCAGCGAAGAGUCAGCAGCACUCACAACAACAGGACAUAACAACUUGUGGCAAGAGAGAGGCUAAGCUGGAAACAGAACUUCAAAAUGCAUGAAAAUUGUUGGACUAUGGGAAGCAGAAGAAUAAGUAAAUUGGCACUUGCAGCUGAAAACAUCUGUACUUCUCUCUUGAUAACAGAUAACACAGUAGACAGAUAACCAUCAUUGCCAGAUUAUGUAUGCACACUGAAGGACUCAACAGUACCAUCAACUAGAUCUGACAUCCACCCAACAACAGCAAAAUAGUCAUUUCUUUCAAGUGCAUACUGAAAAUUCCUAAGGCAGGUUGCUUCCUGGAUCAUUAAAAAAAAGAACAGUUGAAAAUAAUGCAAGUUAUGUUAAUUACCAUAUUGGAAUGACAUGGGAAAUUAAUAAAAGAAAGCAAGAAGAAUAAUCUCCAAACAGUGGAAGACAAUAUACUUCUAAGUAAUUCUCAGGACGUCUCAAAGGAAAUUGGAAAAUACUUUUCAUUAAAAAAAAAAAGAAAAUAUACCAUAUAAAAAUUGUGAGGCUCAAAUGUAGCAGUGCGAUUACAUCAACAUCACAGUGUUAGAGAAGAAAGUGACUCUUCAGAGACCUCAGCCUUCACCUUAGAAACCUAGAGAGGUGGGUGUGUGAAACACAUCCAUGGCCACAGAGCCUGGGUUAUGUGAAAUCUAGGGUGCACAGUCAAAAUAAGCUCAAAGAAAGCAAAAGGGGGAAAUAAUAAAGAAUAUAAAAAUCAGAAAAUGGAGAAAAAUAAUCCAAAGGGUAAGUUUUUGUAACACUGGGAAAACAGAGAGAUGGCGUGAGUUAUCAGCAUGUAGGCUUGGAAGCUGAAUAGUACUGUGUGCUGUCACAUACUCCACAGACAAUAACAGGAUAGGAGAGAGUAAUACAUACGCUAUAGACAUUUAUAAUUUUAUUAGAUGAUAUAAUAUGAUCAAAACAAAAAGUCAACAACUUAGCUGGAAUGGGUCUGUUCCCUGCAAAUUCCAAGCUAAAAUAAAGAGGGAUGAAUAGGAAUGAAGAAGGAUUAGGUGGCUUCUUAUUUUAAGAGGCCAUUGUACCCUGAUAGCCAAAGCAAAGGAACAAAAAGACUACAGGCUGUUGCCCUUCAUAACACAAGCAAAACCUCCAUCACACUAUUAAGAAGUUGAACGAUUAUUCAAUAUAAAAUAUACACACAGUGAAGACAUUAUGACCAAGCAAUGUUUACUUCAGAAGUGCAAGCCUGGCUUAAUAUUUGAAAAUCAAUAUAAUCUACAAUUUUAACAGGCUAAAGAAAAAAAGCCACAUGGAUAUGUUGGUUGUUGUAGAACAUUUCUAAAAAUUAAAUGUCUCCACAAUAAGUCUCGUCAAACUAGGAGUUAAAGGGUCCUUCCUCAACAAGAUAAAGGAUCUAUUCAAAAAACCUAAAAAGCCAUUAUGAGUGAUCAAAAGCUGGAGGCUUCCCCUAAGACUACACCUCCCUUAAGACUGUAGUCAAGGCUGGUCUGUGCACUCUCACUACGCCUGCACAAUAUGACACAGGAAGUCUUAGCUGGUGAAGUCAAGAAAAAGAAACAGCAUAGAUUAGAAAGGGAGAAGAAAUAACAACCAAAAGAAAACAAAAUCCAACCAGACAAAACUGGCAUAUGUGGAAAUGAUACUUCUGUAUCAAGGCCACAUAGGAAAUCCAAGGAAUUUGUUUUAUAUAUAGAACUGCUGAUUUCAGCUUGUUAAAGAACAUAACUGGUCUUACUUAGAGCUUCCAUUGCUGUGAAUGGAACUAUUUAGUUCCAUGGCCAAAGCAACUCUUAUAAAGGACAUUUAAUUGGAGCUGGCUUACAGGUUCCAAGGUUCAGUCCAUUAUCAUCCUGGAAGAAAGUAUGGCAACAUCAAGGCAGGCAUAGCAUUGUAGGAGCUGAGAGUUCUACAUCUUGUUCUGAAGGUAAACAGGAGAAGACUAUCUUCCAGGCAGCUAGGAGAAAGGUCUCAAAACCUACCCCUACAGUGACAUCCAACAAGGCCACACCUCCUAAUAGUGCCACUCCCUGGGCCAACUGUAUUCAAAUCAUCAUAUAACUCCAACACACAAUACCAGCUGCAGUUCUGGGGAGAUCUCCUUUGCUAAAGCUACUGUCAUGCAGGCAUGAGCACCUGAGUUUAAUUGCCAGCGUCCAUGUAAAAUGCCAAACAUGAUGGCAUGCAUCCUAGAGCUGGGGAUAUGGAAACAGCGAGAUCCCAAGUCAGCAAGCUCCAGAUUCAGUCAUAGAUCCUGCCCCAAAAGUAAAGUAGAUAAGAGUUGGCUCAACAGGUAAGAGAACUUAUUGCUCUUGCAGAGGACCUGGCUUCAAUUCCCUGCACCUACAC